GUAACGCGUGGGAACGUACCUUUUGGUUCGGAACAACACAGGGAAACUUGUGCUAAUACCGGAUAAGCCCUUACGGGGAAAGAUUUAUCGCCGAAAGAUCGGCCCGCGUCUGAUUAGCUAGUUGGUGAGGUAACGGCUCACCAAGGCGACGAUCAGUAGCUGGUCUGAGAGGAUGAUCAGCCACAUUGGGACUGAGACACGGCCCAAACUCCUACGGGAGGCAGCAGUGGGGAAUAUUGGACAAUGGGCGCAAGCCUGAUCCAGCCAUGCCGCGUGAGUGAUGAAGGCCCUAGGGUUGUAAAGCUCUUUUGUGCGGGAAGAUAAUGACGGUACCGCAAGAAUAAGCCCCGGCUAACUUCGUGCCAGC
Molecule: ribosomal RNA, 367 nt
Filed under: Afipia sp. S1.2
Lineage: Bacteria; Pseudomonadati; Pseudomonadota; Alphaproteobacteria; Hyphomicrobiales; Nitrobacteraceae
Description: bacterial SSU rRNA
Rfam family: Bacterial small subunit ribosomal RNA
Source: RNAcentral